This 704-nucleotide long non-coding RNA is filed under the name Ovis aries (sheep). Its description in RNAcentral is "lncRNA (ENSOARG00000025465.1)". Lineage: Eukaryota; Metazoa; Chordata; Mammalia; Artiodactyla; Bovidae. The record is from RNAcentral.
AGGAGAUGACCUCUUCAGAAAGAGGAAAGGUAUUGCGUCUCUAAAUUCCAAGAACUUGGCCAAAAGGAAAGAAGACAAUGCCUUUUAAAAAAUAUUUUUAUUUAUUUAUUUGGCCGAGCUGGGUCUUAGCUGCAUCACGCAGGAUCUUUCCUUGUGGCAUGUGGGAUCUAGUUCUCUGACUAGGGAUGGAACCAGGGGCAUUGGGAGCUGGGAGUCUUAGCCACUGGACCACCAAGGGAAGUCCCGACAAUGCCUUUAUUAUGCAUACGCUAGGGGAAAUGAUUCUGCAAGGGAAGGUACUAGCUGCCAAAGCGGAAGCACAGCGACUCCGGCCUGGCUCCGCUGCAGGCUCUGAGUCAGGCUCCUGCGGGGAAGGGGAGCGUCACGCUGAGCCUGGAUGUGGAGAGAAGCCUCCUCCAGCAGGGGUGAAAGAUACCAACUCGUUGGGCUCCUCGCUGAGCCGAGGAGGGCCGUCUCUGGGCUUCACCGGGGCAGGCAGCCGGCCACAGGGUCCGGCCGCGGCAAGGGCACAAAGUUCAUGGGGCACAGCAGCAGUGGGCACACCUUCUCGUGCUCCUUCAGCGCCUCGCUCAGGUGCUUCAGCUCCUCCGUCAGCUUGCCGAUCUCUCUCCGAAGCACUGUGUUUUCUUGCUCCAAGCACUCAUACUCCUGAGAAGACAGGAAAGGCGCAAAAUUGGCCCUGA